GCCACCUUAGCUCAGUUGGUAGAGCGACUGAUUCGUAAUCAGUAGGUCGGCGGUUCAACUCCGCCAGGUGGCUCCA
Molecule: transfer RNA, 76 nt
Filed under: Acidobacteriota bacterium
Lineage: Bacteria; Pseudomonadati; Acidobacteriota
Also listed under: 1 other name
Description: tRNA-Thr
Rfam family: tRNA
About the family: Transfer RNA (tRNA) molecules are approximately 80 nucleotides in length. Their secondary structure includes four short double-helical elements and three loops (D, anti-codon, and T loops).
Source: RNAcentral